GGGGCCUUAGCUCAGCUGGUAGAGCGCCUGCUUUGCAAGCAGGAUGUCGUCGGUUCGACUCCGUCAGGCUCCACCA
RNAcentral lists this transfer RNA (76 nucleotides) under Paracoccus chinensis. RNAcentral's name for it is "tRNA_Ala_TGC". It matches the Rfam family "tRNA". Rfam says of the family: Transfer RNA (tRNA) molecules are approximately 80 nucleotides in length. The record is from RNAcentral. RNAcentral also lists the same sequence under 2 other names. Lineage: Bacteria; Pseudomonadati; Pseudomonadota; Alphaproteobacteria; Rhodobacterales; Paracoccaceae.